This 450-nucleotide ribosomal RNA is filed under the name uncultured bacterium. RNAcentral describes it as "bacterial SSU rRNA". It matches the Rfam family "Bacterial small subunit ribosomal RNA", at positions 354 to 796 of the family's 1533-position model. The record is from RNAcentral.
GUAGGGAAUAUUGGACAAUGGGCGCAAGCCUGAUCCAGCCAUGCCGCGUGAGUGAUGAAGGCCUUCGGGUUGUAAAACUCUUUUCUGAGGGAAGAACAGACGGGAAAGGAAAUGGUCCCGUUUUGACGGUACCUCAGGAAUAAGGGACGGCUAACUCCGUGCCAGCAGCCGCGGUAAUACGGAGGUCCCAAGCGUUGUUCGGAAUUACUGGGCGUAAAGGGAGCGCAGGCGGACGGGUCAGUCUGAAGUGGAAAUCCGGGGCUCAACCUCGGACUUGCUUCGGAUACUGCCCGUCUUGAGUUCGUGAGAGGAUGAUGGAAUUCAGGGUGUAGCGGUGAAAUGCUCAGAUAUCCUGAGGAACACCUGUGGCGAAAGCGGUCAUCUGGCGCGAAACUGACGCUGAGGCUCGAAAGCGUGGGGAGCAAACGGGAUUAGAAACCCCGGUAGUCC